CAAUAGCGUAUAUUUAAGUUGUUGCAGUUAAAAAGCUCGUAGUUGGAUUUCGGAUGGGAUUUGCCGGUCCGUCGUUACGAUGUGCACUGGCCAGUCCUAUCUUGUUGUCGGGGACUAGCUCCUUGGAUUCACUUCCUGGGACUAGGAGCUGACGAGGUUACUUUGAGUAAAUUAGAGUGUUCAAAGCAAGCCUACGCUCUGAAUACAUUAGCGUGGAAUAACACGAUAGGACUCUGGCUUAUCUUGUUGGUCUGUGAGACCUGAGUAAUGAUUAAGAGGGACAGUCGGGGACAUUCGUAUUUCAUUGUCAGAGGUGAAAUUCUUGGAUUUAUGAAAGACGAACUUCUGCGAAAGCAUUUGUCAAGGAUGUUUUCAUUAA
RNAcentral lists this ribosomal RNA (379 nucleotides) under uncultured eukaryote. RNAcentral's name for it is "partial 18S ribosomal RNA". It matches the Rfam family "Eukaryotic small subunit ribosomal RNA", at positions 592 to 976 of the family's 1831-position model. The record is from RNAcentral.